Molecule: transfer RNA, 58 nt
Filed under: Varanus primordius
Lineage: Eukaryota; Metazoa; Chordata; Lepidosauria; Squamata; Varanidae
Description: partial tRNA-His
Source: RNAcentral
GCGGACAUAGUUUAAACCAAAACACCAGACUGUGACUCUGGAAACAGAGACUCUCCCC